This 253-nucleotide ribosomal RNA is filed under the name uncultured bacterium. RNAcentral's name for it is "partial 16S ribosomal RNA". It matches the Rfam family "Bacterial small subunit ribosomal RNA", at positions 524 to 776 of the family's 1533-position model. The record is from RNAcentral.
UAUGUAGGGUGCAAGCGUUAAUCGGAAUUACUGGGCGUAAAGCGUGCGCAGGCGGUUAUGUAAGUCAGAUGUGAAAUGCCCGGGCUUAACCUGGGAACUGCAUUUGUGACUGCAUGGCUAGAGUUUGGCAGAGGGGGGUAGAAUUCCACGUGUAGCAGUGAAAUGCGUAGAUAUGUGGAGGAACACCGAUGGCGAAGGCAGCCCCCUGGGUCAAGACUGACGCUCAUGCACGAAAGCGUGGGGAGCAAACAGG